Long non-coding RNA from Macaca mulatta (Rhesus monkey), 1637 nucleotides. Lineage: Eukaryota; Metazoa; Chordata; Mammalia; Primates; Cercopithecidae. The record is from Ensembl.
AUUUUGUUUUUCUGGUCACAUACACUGUACCCGGUCUGAACAGAUUUUUUAGCAUGAAGUUUGAGGCCCCUACUCUCCAAGCCCUUUCUCAUAGUGAGUGCCGUUCUCGUUUCUCUACCAAGACACAAUCAGACACCAUCUCACCUUGACAGUCACUUCCACAAGCAUUGUACCAUUUUAUGACACAUAAUUCUCACUUCUUUUCCCUAGGCAACUAGGACUGAAAAAUUUAUAGGCUACUUCUGGAAAGGACGGUGAAUCCAACAGGAAAACACUCCAAAUGCAGGGAUUAAGAAGCUGUCUAUGUGAUGCUAUUUUUUCAAUGAAAAAGAAUGAAGGAAAGAAACUGCAGUCUGCCCUGAGCAGCUCCACUUCUGCAGAGAAGUUCACUUCACCGCAUCAGUCUUCUGCCAAACUGAAGGCUGCUCCAGGCCACUGAGUUGCCUGCCGUCCAAAGGGGUUGGGCAGGAUUGGAAGGAGGCUGUGGCAGCUCUUUUCCCUGUUCACCUCCCCUGCCAGGGAAGGCAGGACCCACACUGCCAAGCGUCUUCUGUGUGUUCCCUUCUCUCCGAGGAAUAGGAAUUGUCAUCUCUGAGGAAUAGGAAUUUUCCUCUCUGGCGCACGUAAGGCAGAAUGCUUCCUAACACCAGUGUGUGGAUUUUAAACAUCACUGUGAGUCUGAAAGGACCACAGGUUUUUCUGCAGCUAUUUUCUAGCAUUUGCCAGUCCCUGUGCCUGGUCUGAUUUGAAUACUUUGUUUUUCUCCCUGUGCCAUUUACCCUCCCACCUUUCCAUCCUGUCUUCUACCACCUUUGGAUGAAUGGAUUUUGUAAUCCUAGCUGCUGUAUAUUGUGGAUUUGUUAUUUUUGUUGUUUUUCUGUGAAGCACAUACAUUGGAUAUGGGAGUAAAGGAGUGUUCCAGUUGCUCCUGGUCACUCCCUUUAUAGCCGUUACUGUCUUGUAUCUUGUAAUUCAGGUUAGGUUUUGGUCUCUCUUGCUCCACUGGAAAAAAAAAAAAAAAUCCUGAAGAGGUGAGACAAGGGGAAAGACCUCACAACCCGAUCUGCUGGUUUUGGGGAGUGAUUUUCUUCCUUCGUCUUGAAGGGGAAAAAGCUAUUUUCAUUUAAAGUCCCCCAACUAUGGGGAGGUACCAAUUCUGGACAAGGGCCACUGCAACAACACUAAGCCUGAACUUUUCAACUCCGUUGAAGGUGGGAGGCAGCAGACAGAAAUAUACUGUUGGCCACUUUCAGGUCUGUUUUAUAUUUCAGAGGAAUAUUGAGUGUUGCAAAUAGGAACUGAAGGGGUAAAUGUAUUAAACCUGGGAUUAUUUGAUGUUUUCCUGUUAUUUUAAGAAAUUAAAUGUGAAGGGGCAGAUGUCAAAAUACUUGUACAAUUUUAAAAUGUCACAAUUAAACAUGAGCUGGUUUCCAAAAGAAAAAAGAAAAGAAAAAAAGAAAAUCUAGAAAUCUCUUCAUAAUUGACUAGAAAUCUCUUCAAAACUGACCUCUUUUUAAGUCUGUGAAGUGGGCUAAGGUUUACUUAGUUGUUUUUGUUUUCUUCUGUUUCUUUAUACUGAUCUGUAAAAUCUAAUGCUUUUGUGGUAGAUAUAAAUUUAUUGUGUAAAAUACAAAUAU